Long non-coding RNA from Trichomycterus rosablanca, 363 nucleotides. RefSeq lists it as uncharacterized. The transcript is spliced from 3 exons. Lineage: Eukaryota; Metazoa; Chordata; Actinopteri; Siluriformes; Trichomycteridae. The record is from RefSeq and is a predicted model, not a curated record.
GCAGACCGCGGAACUGGACAGUAAGAGCAAUAGGAAGAGAUGUAAUGAAGCACCUGCUGGUUUCCGAUGAAGCGUAUCUCUCAGUUCCAGUGGCGUCACUGUUUCCUGCCGAACAGCAUUAUGGGAAGAUGAUCGUGACAACAAAAGUCCUUUUCGCCAGUUAACGUAAAAUCACGGAACAGUGGAAAAAUACUGGGUGUUGUGAUGAGGAAUGGACCUCUGGGUGGGUUGACUGUAAAGUCUCAGCACACACACUACUCUGGGUCUGUUUGACUCUAUCCUUCAUGGGAGAGGCCACAGAACGCUGCAGCUAAAGAUCUGGAAGAGAUAUCAACUUUUUCUAAAUAAACUUAUUGAAACUUA